Molecule: non-coding RNA, 72 nt
Organism: Pangasianodon gigas (Mekong giant catfish)
Lineage: Eukaryota; Metazoa; Chordata; Actinopteri; Siluriformes; Pangasiidae
Source: the annotation of a GenBank genome assembly
ACCCUGGUGGACUAGUGGCUAGCAUGCGGCGCUCUCAUCGCCAUGGCCCGGGUUCGAUUUCCACUCAGGGAA